RNAcentral lists this unclassified non-coding RNA (491 nucleotides) under Hevea brasiliensis (rubber tree). Lineage: Eukaryota; Viridiplantae; Streptophyta; Magnoliopsida; Malpighiales; Euphorbiaceae. The record is from RNAcentral.
CUAAAUCUCAGCCGUUCACUAUGAACCCAUUAAUCUCAACCGAACCCUAAUACAUUUCCGUCUCACCACUCUCUCUCUAGUCCCCUCACCGCCGAAAGCACAGUAUCUAAACCCGCCCUAUACGGCCAACUAUUAUCGCCAACGCAACGGCUAACCGCAGCCACACCAUUUCCUUUUCAACUUCUCCAUCUCCUCGGGACAAGCGACUUCUAAAUAACCUUCCGUUCCCCUACAGCUGCCGCGACCAUCGUUACUACCUUCCUCACUACUAUCAUCAACACCUUUUCUUAUCUAAUCUCUCACCGUUUCAAUAUUUCUUUGCAUUUCUCUGUCUAUCAUCACAUUUUCCGUUUCUUUUGCAUGCAAACAGAGAACAACCCUGUCAGUUCUGCCACUGAACUGCAGUAGCGCCACAGAAAGUGUCUCUCCCGAGUUCACUGGGCUGCACCAUUGAUGGCGGCUAAUGCAGUGGCUGCUGCCUCUCAUGCUGG